UAGGGAAUCUUCCGCAAUGGACGAAAGUCUGACGGAGCAACGCCGCGUGAGUGAAGAAGGAUUCCGGUUCGUAAAACUCUGUUGUUAGGGAAGAAAAAAUGUAUAGUAACUAUAUACAAAAGAGACGGUACCUAACCAGAAAGCCACGGCUAACUACGUGCCAGCAGCCGCGGUAAUACGUAGGUGGCAAGCGUUGUCCGGAAUUAUUGGGCGUAAAGCGCGCGCAGGUGGUUUAGAAAGUCUGAUGUGAAAGCCCACGGCUCAACCGUGGAGGGUCAUUGGAAACUAAUAAACUUGAGUGCAGGAGAGAAAAGUGGAAUUCCUAGUGUAGCGGUGAAAUGCGUAGAGAUUAGGAGGAACACCGGUGGCGAAAGCGGCUUUUUGGCCUGCAACUGACACUGAGGCGCGAAAGCGUGGGGAGCAAACAGG
RNAcentral lists this ribosomal RNA (429 nucleotides) under Verrucomicrobiota bacterium. Its description in RNAcentral is "Verrucomicrobia bacterium partial 16S ribosomal RNA". It matches the Rfam family "Bacterial small subunit ribosomal RNA", at positions 355 to 776 of the family's 1533-position model. Lineage: Bacteria; Pseudomonadati; Verrucomicrobiota. The record is from RNAcentral.